UUGAGGGCUGUGUCCACGGAGCAGGUGAAUGUUCUUGGCUGCCCAGCUUCUGUAUGCCGGAGAUACGUAAAACCUGGGCCGAGACUGGCACCACGCCCACUUACCUUCUGCCUGUCAAAGGGGUCCUCUCACCGAGUUGCAGAAGUAGGAAAAACAGGACUAGCUGUGGCAGGCUGCCUAGCCUUCCUUACCCACAUCCCGCCCACUUUGUCUGAAUCUGGAGCUGGGAACGAGGCAACAACAUUUAAGGUAGACAGACUUUGAGAAAAUACACUCGGAGUGCUGAACAGAUGAUGGCAAUACAGAUGAGAAUGUUUCAAUGUUUCCCAGAAGGUGGUCAGAGGCACCACCUGCCACCGUCACCCCCUAAAUUUGUACAUUUCAUAUAAAAAGAGUAAA
This is a long non-coding RNA of Zalophus californianus (California sea lion), 399 nucleotides long. RefSeq lists it as uncharacterized. The transcript has 3 exons. The record is from RefSeq and is a predicted model, not a curated record. NCBI's taxonomy places the organism in Eukaryota, Metazoa, Chordata, Mammalia, Carnivora, Otariidae.